Molecule: ribosomal RNA, 472 nt
Filed under: uncultured bacterium
Lineage: Bacteria
Description: bacterial SSU rRNA
Rfam family: Bacterial small subunit ribosomal RNA
Source: RNAcentral
ACGAACGCUGGCGGCGUGCCUAACACAUGCAAGUCGAGCGAGGAGAUCCUCGGGAUGAUCCUAGCGGCGGACGGGUGAGUAACACGUGGGCAACCUGCCUCAUAGAGAGGAAUAGCCUUCCGAAAGGGAGAUUAAUACCUCAUAACAUUGCAGUUUCGCAUGAAACAGCAAUUAAAGGAGCAAUCCGCUAUGAGAUGGGCCCGCGGCGCAUUAGCUAGGUUGGUGAGGUAACGGCUCACCAAGGCGACGAUGCGUAGCCGACCUGAGAGGGUGAUCGGCCACAUUGGGACUGAGACACGGCCCAGACUCCUACGGGAGGCAGCAGUGGGGAAUAUUGCACAAUGGGGGAAACCCUGAUGCCAGCAACGCCGCGUGAGUGAUGACGGCCUUCGGGUUGUAAAGCUCUGUCUUCAGGGACGAUAAUGACGGUACCUGAGGAGGAAGCCACGGCUAACUACGUGCCAGCCGCCGC